RNA transcript from Carya illinoinensis, 996 nucleotides. RefSeq lists it as uncharacterized. Lineage: Eukaryota; Viridiplantae; Streptophyta; Magnoliopsida; Fagales; Juglandaceae. The record is from RefSeq and is a predicted model, not a curated record. The transcript has 2 exons.
AAUUAUUUCUUUGCCUUGAUCUUACAUUUUUUCGCUUUGCUCCUAGUUCUACCGAUCGUUUUCGUACUUAAUUUCAUGAUCAUGAUGCGCUCUGGAUCCAGUGGUACUGGUGCCGAUCCCCACUGGUCGACCCCGGACCAGUCGAAGUGACGACUGACGGGCAACGCUAAAUAGCCCAAGCAAGCGACCAAGCUGGAGUAUUCUCUGGUUUCUCCAUCAAAUUCCUAGCCACUAUCCAACCUCUCAUUCAAGUAUUAGGUAACCUUCUUCAAUUAAAGUGUCAGAACUCAGACACUGCUCCAUUCCAGACACACGGUACAAUCAUGUCACUUGUCAUUGCAGCCGUCUGUGUUUACUUCGUGGCAUUUAUGGAGAUAACCCGGCCAGUUCGAAACACGAGGUACCUCCUUGCCGCUCGGAUUCUCUGCGGAAUUUCGGGUGUUCUGACCAGUAUUUUACUAGCACUGAUCCUCUUCCCUCCCGUUGGAUGGGUUAUGCUAACUUUAUAUACUAUUAGGGCAUUACACGACUUAUUUCCACUGAUCACUACUGAAUUGCUCGUUCAUGGUAUCUCUCUCGAGAUGUUAUAUGGCAGCUUAUUCAAACAGACUUUCAAUCGAACUCGUCGAGCAGAAGCAAGCCCUCAAGCAUCUAACGACAACCCAGUGGGGCAAGAGGCAGGCGAUGAUGGUGCCCAUCAAGCAGAAGCAGGCCCUCGAGCAACUAAUGCUAACUUCAUGAAGCAAGAGGGUGGCGAUCAUGGUCCGAUCGAAAUUUGUGUGUGAGGUCCGAUCUAGAAUUUUCUUUCUUUGUUGGUGCAUGCAUGUUGUUUGUGUGCAUGUGGGAUUGCUGACCGCAAUGCCCUAGUAAUUGUUGGACGUCGUUUGGUUUCUCAUGUAUUAAUAAUUGUUCUCGAUCGGUUGCUGGCCGCCGGUUAUCAUGAUAUUGUUAUAGAAUGUGGCUAUGUUACUGCUGCCAAUAUUUGUUGUUUACCAA